GAAGAUUUAAUGUACCACAGAGAGCAAGGACAACUUGUCCCUAGCCCUGUUAGAGGGCAAACAGGAGAUGUUAAAGGAGAAGACCAGUUCAGAAGGAGCAGGGUUUGCAUGCAACGAAAUUAUGAUCUGUUGCCACAGCCCUCCAUUAAUCCUCCGUCUGCUCAGAGAAGCAGAGUCUCCUUCCUCCCGUUCCUGCCACAGCACAACUUAGCGCCUUGGAAAAGGACGUGCUUUGAUGUAGUCCUUUGUGGUGGUUCAAAAUGCCUCCCUCUCCUGCUGUGA
Molecule: long non-coding RNA, 282 nt
Filed under: Anser cygnoides (Swan goose)
Lineage: Eukaryota; Metazoa; Chordata; Aves; Anseriformes; Anatidae
Description: lncRNA (ENSACDG00005016417.1)
Source: RNAcentral